RNAcentral lists this transfer RNA (69 nucleotides) under Rhinella alata. RNAcentral describes it as "tRNA-Val". It matches the Rfam family "tRNA". From Rfam's summary of the family: Transfer RNA (tRNA) molecules are approximately 80 nucleotides in length. Their secondary structure includes four short double-helical elements and three loops (D, anti-codon, and T loops). The record is from RNAcentral. Lineage: Eukaryota; Metazoa; Chordata; Amphibia; Anura; Bufonidae. RNAcentral also lists the same sequence under 1 other name.
CGUAAUGUAGCUUAAUUAAAGCAUCUCGCUUACACCGAGAAAAUGUCUGUGAAAAUCAGAUCUUUAUGA